This 4942-nucleotide long non-coding RNA is filed under the name Macaca mulatta (Rhesus monkey). Its description in RNAcentral is "lncRNA (ENSMMUG00000057313.1)". Lineage: Eukaryota; Metazoa; Chordata; Mammalia; Primates; Cercopithecidae. The record is from RNAcentral.
CAGGUAGAGCAGGUGGAGGAUGAUGGCCAGCGCCUUGGUGAACUGGGCCGAGUCUCCGGGCUCCCUGGGCAGCUGCAGGGCCCGUUCCACUUCCCGGACCCCUUUGGUGAGGACCCCCAUGAGGUCUGCAAAGCCGAUCUGGGUGCCCAGACUGCCCUUGGCGGCCCGGUCCUGCAGCACGUAGGAGAAGAGUUCCGCGAAGGAGAGGAAGCUGCUGGCGGUCAUGGGGCUCAGAGGCUCCAGGUUGGUCUGUUGCAUGUCCAGGGCGUACUUCCACAAGCGGAUGCAGCGCUCGAAAUUGCCCGAGUCGGCGUACACGGCGCCCCUGUAACGGAUAUAAUAGGAAGUGUCGGGGUGCGAGGGACCGAGGAUGCGCUCCCGGAUCAACAGGGCCUGCAUGCGCAUCUCAUCCGGGUCGGUGAUCAGCGCCUCCAGCUCCUCGGUGGUGUUGACCUCCCUGGAAUAGUCAUAGGCCAGGACCAGCUGUGGGGGCUCCGGUUUGGGCAGGUACUCGCCCCCCUGGUGACGCAGCUCCAUGGCCCGCCUCCAGUGUUUGAGGGCCCCAAGCAGAUCUCGUUUCUUAUCCACAUACGUAGCUCCCAGCAAUUCCAAGGCUUCCACGGCAGCUUCCCGGCUGGUGGGACAGCAGCUUUCAUAAGAUUCCCCGUUCAGUGGUUCCUCCGGGGAGGAGCUACAGCAUGGGGCCCCCUGAGGCUGCGCACACCCCUGGCUGGUAGAGGGGCCUUCUUGGGGCAGCCCAGGCUGAGCCUCUCCCCCUGCGAUCUGCUCCUGGCCGGGCUGCUCCUGGAUGAGGUACUCCACAAUGUUGGUGUGGCCCGUCACACUGGCCGCAAGCAGCGGGGUCAUGCCGUAGCCGUCACGUUCCAUGCGGGCCUUGCACCCCAGCAGCAGCUGCAGGAUCUCCAGGCUGCCGGACUCGGCGCAGUCGUGCAGGGCCGUGUUGCCCUUGGCGCUGCGCCGGUUCACCUGGGCGCCCUGCUCCAGCAGGUAGCGGGCGAUCUCACGAUGGCCCUUGUAGCACGAGAUCAUGAGGCACGUGUGGCCGUGCCGGUUGGCCACCUCAAGGUCGGCCUGGUGCUCGCCGACCAGGUAGCGCACCACCUCCAGGUGGCCGUCGAAGCAGGCGGCGCGCAGGGGCGUGGAGUUGGUGCGCGUGGUGCGGUUCACCGAGGCCCCGCGGCGCAGCAGGCUCCGCACCACGUCCAGGUGGCCGGCGGCGGAGGCGGCCCACAGCGGCGGCGCGCCCUCGAUGGUCUCGCCAUCGAAGUGCACCGAGCCACCGGCCUCCACGCUCGCGCCGCACCGGUCCACCAGGUACUCCACCACAUCCAGGUGGCCGUAGCGCGCGGCGAUGAGCAGCGGCGUCCCCCCGCCGGAGGACGGGGAGACAGAGGAUCAGAGCCCGGACGGGCGGGAGGCAACCUUCACCGUCUCCCUCGCCGCCAUCUUAGGGGUUCCUCGGGCGGAACAAAAUGGCUGCCGCGACCCGACGAAUGGGAGCACGCCGGGAAAUGGAGUCCUCUGCGCGGGCCCACUCCAUAGAACAAAAAAGGAAUCAUGGGGGAUUAAGACUACACUUCCUAAAAGGCCACAGGACAGCCCCUGCGAGCUGUGAGCGCGCGGCAUGAUGGAAAUUGGUGUUCCAGUUGCAGUGCAUGACCGGGGAAGUUAGCAAUUUGAGAACUACAAUUCCCGUCAUGCAGCGCUACACGACCUAGCUUGUGGGAACCGGCGAAAUUUGGUGACGUACUUCCCGUGGCUGUCUCUACGUCAGAGCCUAUGGAAAAAGCCUGCACGAUGCCCUUAAGGACUACAUUUCCCAAAAGGCAUGGCGAGCGACUCUGAGCCAGUCAGGACCUAGACCGAAGGCCAAGCUCGGCCAGAGGGGGCGAGUCAUGAUUCGGGGUUGGAGCAUAGGCGAGCAGCCCACCGGCAGGGGGCGCCAAGAGGAGGCCGAAAAGCCAGGCAGGGCGAAAGCGUUUUGAGCUGGGAGAACAGGGAGAGAUAAGGGUAAAAAAUUACGCGCUCAGUUCUUAUUCCCCCAUUCAUUUAUUCAUUCAUUCAUUUACAUGCAUUUAUUUAUAUCCUAGCAUAUGUCAGAAUUUCCUUCUUCUAUUUUAUUUACGUAAUUAUUUCUUUCAAUAACUUCGUGGGAUUUUUUUGUGUGUUUUUGUUUUUGAGACAGUCUCUGUCUGUCGCCCAGGCUGUAGUGCAGUGGUGCAAUCUCGGCUCACUGCAACAUCCACCUCCCGGGUUCAAGCGAUUCUUGUGCCUCAGCCUCCCGAGUAGCUGGGAUUACAGGCGCCCGCCACCACACCCAGCUAAUUUUUGUAUUUUUAGUAGAGACGGGGUUUCACCAUGUUGGCCAGGAUGAUCUCGAACUCCUGGCCUUAGGCGAUCCCCCCGCCUUAUCCUCCCAAAGUGCUAGGAUUACAGGCGUGAGCCCCUGUGCCCGGCCUGACAUGCUGAUUUCAAUUCCUUUGGAUAAAUACCCAGAACUGGGAUUGCUGGAUCAUCUGGUAGUUCUAUUUUUAAAUUUUUCUUUGGAACUUCCAUACCAUUUUCCAUAAUGGCUAUACUAAUUAAAAUUACCAUCAAUAGUGCGUAAGUGUUCUCUUCAAAUCCUUGCCAACAUUUGGUACCUUUCAUCUUUUUGAUAAUAGCUAUUCUAGCAGUUGUAAGGUGAUCCAUUUCCUGGCAUUUUUUUGACAGCAGUGAAUUAUGAGACAGAAAUCUUUGGUGGCCCGAAUUAUUUAUUUUUAAAAUGUAUUCAAGAUGCAAUAUAUAUACACUAAAAUGCAUUUUUUUUUGAACGGAGCCGUCUGCGCCAGCGGAGGCAGCCGGUCUCGCCCGCCCCCCCCCCCCCCCCCCCCCGGCGGCCGCCCCCCCUCGCCGGCUAGUUUUUGUAUUUUAGUAGACGGUUCCGUGUAGCAGAUGUCUCAUUCUGACUUGUGAUCGCCGUCUGGCUCCAAGUGCGGAUACAGGCUGAGCCCGCGCGGCUGCAAUGCAUUUAAUAAAGAGGACAGGGCCGGGCGCGGUGGCUCAAGCCUGUAAUCCCAGCACUUUGGGAGGCCGAGACGGGCGGAUCACAAGGUCAGGAGAUCGAGACCAUCCUGGCUAACACGGCGAAACCCCGUCUCUACUAAAAACACAAAAAAUUAGCCGGGGGAGGUGGCGGCGCCUGUGGUCCCAGCUACUUGGGAGGCUGAGGCAGGAGAAUGGCGGGAACCCGGGAGGCGGAGCUUGCAGUGAGCUGAGAUCUGGCCACUGCACUCCAGCCUGGGCGACAGAGCGAGACUCCAUCUCAAAAAAAAAAAAAAAAAAAAAAAAAAAAGAGGACAGGUUUGGCUAGGCAGGGUCACUCACACCUGUAAUCUCACCACUUUGGGAGGCUGAGGUGGGAGGAUUGCUUGAACCCAGAAAUUCGAGACCCGCCUGGGAAACAUAGCCCAUCUCUACAAAAAUACAAAAAUUAGCUGGGCGUGGUAGCGUGCACCUGUUGUCUCAGCUAUUAAGGAGGCUGAAGUGGGAGGAUUGCUUGAACCUCUGAAGUCAAGGCUGCAGUGAGCCAUGAUUGCACCAUUGCACUUCAGCCUGGGUGACAGAGGGAGACCCUGUCUCCAAGAUAAAUAAAUGAAAAUAAAUAAAUAGAACAGGUGUGACAAACAUGCAGUUAUGUAGCCAGUAUCACAACUGAGAUGUUCAACAGCAUCUUCAUUCAGAAUGUUAUCUCAUGCUGGCUGGGAGCAGUGGCUCAUGCCUGUAAUCCCAGCACUUUGGGAGGCCCAGGCGGGUGGAUCACGAGGUCAGGAGAUCAAGACCAUCCUGGCUAACACGGUGAAACCCCGUCUCUACUAAAAAUACAAAAAAUUAGCCGGGCGUGGUGGCAGGCACCUGUAGUCCCAGCUACUCAGGAGGCUGAGGCAGGAGAAUGGCCUGAACCCGGGAGGCGGAGCUUGUAGUAGUGAGCCGAGAUUGCGUCACUGCACUCCAGCCUGGGGGACAGAGCGAGACUCCAUCUUGAAAAAAAAAAAAAAAGAAAAAAAGAAUGUUGUAUCAUGCCCUUUUGGUCAACGCCUUUGUCCACCCGCAGCCACUAGUAAAUGCUGAUCUGUUCUCUGCAUUUCAUAAUAACAGCAUAGAAAUGGAAAAAUGCAAUAUGCGGCCUCUGGGGUCUGCUGCUUUCAUUCAGCACAAUGCAUUCAAGAUGCAACUAUGCUGUUGCGCGUAUUAGUAGCUCGUUGCCUUUUAUUAUGGAGCUGUAUUCCAUGGCAAGAAUGAGCCACCAUUCUUUUAUCCAUUACGUAAUGGUUCUUUCCAGUUUUAGAUGACAAAUAAACCUGCUAUAAACUUCUGCGUACAGGUCUUUGUGUGGAAAUAUGUUUUCAUUUCUCUUGGGUAAUGCCUACGAGUGUAAGUAUUCUUUUUUUUUCUUUUCUUUUUUUCUUUUGAGAUAGAGUUUCGGCCGGGUGCGGUGGCUCAAGCCUGUAAUCCCAGCACUUUGGGAGGCCGAGACGGGCGGAUCACGAGGUCAGGAGAUCGAGACCAUCCUGGCUAACACAAUGAAACCCCGUCUCCACUAAAAAUACAAAAAAAUUAGCCGGGCGUGGUGGCGGCGCCUGUAGUCCCAGCUACUCGGGAGGCUGAGGCAGGAGAAUGGCGGGAACCCGGGAGGCGGAGCUUGCAGUGAGCCGAGAUCGCGCCACUGCACUCCAGCCUGGGCGACAGAGCGAGACUCCACCUCAAAAAAAAAAAAAAAAAAAAAAAAAGAGAUAGAGUUUCACUCUUUUUUUUUUUUUUUUUUUUUUUUUUUUUGAGGCGGAGUUUCGCUCUGUCUCCAGCUGGUGCAGUGCCGGAUCUCACUCACUGCAAGCUCCGCUCCCGGUUUACGCAUUCUCCUGCUCAGCCUCCAUAGCUGGAC